UUUGAAAUCUGGCGUCCUCAGGGCGUCCGAGUUGUAAUCUAUAGAGGCGUUUUCCGUGCCGGACCGUGUCCAAGUUCCUUGGAACAGGAUAUCAAAGAGGGUGACAAUCCCGUACUUGACACGACGACCGGUGCUCUGUGAUACGUCUUCUACGAGUCGAGUUGUUUGGGAAUGCAGCUCAAAAUGGGUGGUGAGUUCCAUCUAAAGCUAAAUAUUGGCGAGAGACCGAUAGCGAACAAGUACCGUGAGGGAAAGAUGAAAAGCACUUUGGAAAGAGAGUUAAACAGUACGUGAAAUUGUUGAAAGGGAAACGAUUGAAGUCAGUCGUGACCGAGAGGCUCAGCCGGUUCUGCCGGUGUAUUCCCCUCGGUCGGGUCAACAUCAGUUUUGUCCGGUGGAUAAGGGCGGUAGGAAGGUGGCACCCUCGGGUGUGUUAUAGCCUGCCGUCGCAUACAUCGGGUGAGACUGAGGAACGCAGCUCGCCUUUAUGGCCGGGGUUCGCCCACGUCCGAGCUUAGGAUGUUGACAUAAUGGCUUUAAACGACCCGUC
RNAcentral lists this ribosomal RNA (550 nucleotides) under Papiliotrema laurentii. RNAcentral's name for it is "eukaryotic LSU rRNA". It matches the Rfam family "Eukaryotic large subunit ribosomal RNA", at positions 114 to 653 of the family's 3401-position model. The record is from RNAcentral. Lineage: Eukaryota; Fungi; Basidiomycota; Tremellomycetes; Tremellales; Rhynchogastremaceae.